This is a long non-coding RNA of Esox lucius (northern pike), 4593 nucleotides long. The record is from Ensembl. NCBI's taxonomy places the organism in Eukaryota, Metazoa, Chordata, Actinopteri, Esociformes, Esocidae.
CUCAAUAAACUAGAAGAAACCCACUGACUACUCCCCCUAAAAAAUGACAUCAUCACCAUCCAUAUCCUGGUUAGAUGACCCUGCAUGGAAACGGUCACCUGGCAACCGUAGCCCUGCUGCUGUGUUCUACUCCCUGAAAUGGAGGACAAAAAAAAUCCUUAAAGCUACAGAGAGGUUUAGGGAGCAGGGAAAAUGGUGACUCACAGUGUCAAAUAGAAAACUAGUGCCAUUGACUUUUUGCUGUAUGGUCACUUUAUUGGCUAGCGUUAAUUAAUUUAGUGUCGAUAAGAUGAUAUUAUACAUGAGAUAGAGAUAUUUCUAGAUAUCUACAACCAUGUUUCAACGUUCAGUGUUUGAAAGCAUGUUAAUUGUAGCCUUGGAGGAAUCCAGUAGGUGAUAUUAUUGAAUUUAAGAAUGAUUGUCCAUUCCAAUAUGACUGAAUUCCAACUGAUGGUACUUAACUAUGGGAUGUUGAAAAAGGGGGUUAGUCUUAAAAACAUUCCAUUAACUUUGUAGAAUGCUAUAUCCUUGUUCUAAUCAUUAUAGAUAUUUAUUUUUGGUAAUGUUCAUAUUCAGCCUGAUAAUGAGUCAUUUGUCAGAUGAUAUUAUUGUGCAUGUUUGUUUAAAGAUGCAGUCUGGGACUUUAACAAAUGACCAACAGUUGUUUUAAACCUCCCAUUUCGGGCUGGCUGUGUAAUGUGCAUCAUUAAUAAGUAGAAUCACUAGGCCUAUCAUACCUCAGAUAGCUAUGAAAUUCCCAGUUUGAAAGUGAGUGGGUUUGAUGGUAUGUGGUACAUAUCAAAUAAAUAACAGCACACAAUUUUCGGGGACCCGUUUUGGCUCGACGGCGUCACUUACACAACCAGUGGACAAAUAAUCUCUGAAUGCAUCUUUAAUGUCUUCAAAUAUUCUUGUUUACAGUAAAUAGGUAAUAAUACUGUAUUUAUUUUUGUAUAACGAAUUCGCUGUACUGUCACAAAAUUUAAAUAUAUGUACUGGUUAAAAAACUGUAGGCUGAUCAAUCAUGUUUUCACAUAGAAUUUUAUUACUGUGAUCCACGUUUGCGAUAAAAUAUAGUAGGACAGAUAUGUAUUUUUGUACAAGAUUUUUAAACGGCAUAAAUUGGCAAAGCCACAACAAUAAUCGGAAUCACACUUUAUAUCCACAGCCAUGUACGUCACAAGAAAAACGAACACAAAAGAACGUGAGGGAGGGAUUGCUGUAAAUUGCACAUCCAGUAUACAGGUGUUUUGCAUCACAAUAACUCGUGUGUUCAAAGCCACCGGCAAAGCUGCAGGAAAGGAGAACCAUGUAAUUAGAAUCGUCAAAUUUCGAAAGCAAGGUAGCGGAAGCCAGGGUUAUGUUUUAUACAUUAACCAUGGAUACGUUAACGACCCCGUAGCCAUGGCAGCGCAAUAAUGGGAUGUCAGCUGCAGGACAAAGUAUCAAUACUAAUAAUUUAGUCUUUCUAUCGACAACUGGAGAGUACAGAGAGCCCUCUUGCAGGCAGAUGACUGUAAAUAAAUAGCAUCUUAAUUUGAAGUACUAAAUGCAGCAGGAACAGUAAAUGUGAAUUACUCUGAGGAUCUUACUGAAGGAACAUAUGUUUCUCUGUAAGGGAAAUUCAAGUCUGACAUUUUAAAAUGGAAAUUACCAACUUCCAAAGCCGUUUUAAGCAUCAAAUACACUAUGAAUUAUCCUUAAACAUGGUGAUCAAGUUAAAACCCUACAUCUGUAUCAUGGUGUUCACGACUGACCAGUUGUUUAAGUAGAUAACGGUUAUUUGGUCCUGCAUGACCAUUGUGCUUACCUGUUUGUGACAUAACCAGAGAUGUUCAACGUGUAGUCAUAUACAUGCUACGUGUUUACUACUGUUAACUUAAAAUCUAGAAGUUACUGUAACUCAGCAUACAAUCUAGCGAUGAAUAGUAGCUACUUCUCGCUCUGUUUACCAAAUAAAGACUAUACCUACUGAUAAGAGUGGUGUGAUCAUUUCUGUUCUCUAAAUCUCUAUUAGGCUUUGCACUUCAUAUCUUUGCUAAACGUACCACUGUUUUAUGAGGAUAUUAUGGAAAAGACAAUGGCUGAACCUCAUCGUCACCUAUAUUGACACGACAGGCUAGUUAUUGUAUCAAUGUCAUUCACGAAUGAAAGAAAAACGAACGUUGUGCCAGGAAAUGAAAUAGUUUUGUCAGUGUAAAUCUCGUCUUUAGUCUCGCUAGCAUUCGCUCAAUUCUUAUGACUAAUCCUAGUAAGAUACUAGUAGGCCUACUGGCUAAUAAGCUAUUGAAAUGGCCAGUGGCAAAAGCCAUACAGGUCACAGAUGUUAUUUGAGGUGGAAGUAAACUUAAUAAGAAACGUUAGUCCGUUUAGCACACUGCUUAAUGGUCUCUAGCUAAAUAUUCAAAUUGUGUGUGAUGUUAUUUAAAUCCUCUAAAUGUGGAGACGCAAUUUUAUGACGAGGUAGAGUAUCCCAAACGGUCCCAAUACUGGCCUACUAGCUUACUAUCUACUAAACAAUACGUACUUUACCAUCAUCCGCGAAGUACGUACUUGUAGUACGUAGUAUGCGAUUUGAGAUUCAUCCAACAUCUGCAACCCAGCUAUUACAUUUUCUGUGGUCACGUGAGAUUGGUGGAUGAAAUGCAGUUGAACUACAUACACCAAAAUCCAAUGCGCUCUUCGGACAAGGUAGUGUAGGAUGUGUUGGACCAGCAUCUCGGGGUCAUAGGUUAGGGUCUGCAGGUCGUAGGUCACGGCCCUCCUCCUGCGGCUGGACCUCCCAGCAGGCUGCAGGUCGGUGUCGAUCCUUUUCAUUCUCUGAAGCCCCACCGCAUGGCCCGAGGUUUUGUGGCCAUCCCUCUCUCCCUCUGGCCUUCCGGGGCCUUCCUCCACGUCCCCCAGCCUCUUCACCCUCAGCAGCCCGAGCGGAGGCUCCUGGCUUGGGGAGGGAGGAGCAGGGGAGUCCAGGGAGCGACGGGACCUAUGGAGGACUGGGCCUGAGGCUGCUCUUACCCCUGCACCUGACACCGAGGCCAGGUCUCUCCUCGCCCCUCCGCCAGGUCUCUCCCCAGAAGCCAGGUCUCUCCUCGCCCUGCGGCCGGAUGAGCGCUGGGGGUUGUUGGGACUGAUGCUGGACAGAAUCUUAGCUACCAGGUAUCUGGAGUAGGAGACAAACAUGGAAGCCAACAUUUUGUAAAUGCAUCUAUGCCAUCUAACUAAAAACAUUAGCUGUUGAUUUUCCCCUGCGGGGCUCCUUACCGGAGUGUCUCCUGGUCUGGGUCUUGUCCUCCUGUCUCCAGCCUGUUGAUGGAGGCGGGAAGACUUGGUGACGCGGCCUGCUGUCUCUCCUGCCUGUAUCUGUUGAGCAGGGCCUGUGUGAGCUGGGGGUCCAGCAGGCCUUGCCACUGAGCUGCAGCCUGGGGUUUUCCCAUCCUCAUCCCCGGCUCUGUCUCAUCAUAGUCUUGGGGAUAGGGCCCCUGGAAGUCCCCUGGCACCUGGUCCUCCUCACUGUCUUCCUCUACGCCGGCACCUUCGGCCUCAUUGAGGAGACGAAGCAACCCGGCCAGGUACGCCGUUUCCUGCUCCCGCCUCUGGUCAUUCUCCAACAGCUGCUGAAGGGCCUGACCUAAGCCCUGCCCCCUCCACUCCUCUGGCUGAUAGAGCAGCUCAUUGCCCCCACGCCUGGUCAGGACGUCUGCGGACUCUCCAGGAUAUGACAUCAUCCCAGCCUCAUAUGGCAGCGAAUCCCGGAGGUCUCUGCGGGCUCGCCUGAUCCCACCUCCUGUGGUGUCCGAACCUCGUCCCCCCACCCCCCGGGCUAUGGAUAACGACUGACACACCCACACACACACACACACACACACACAACACAGAGAGAGAGAGAGAGAUGCUAAAAAAGGUCUUUCAAAAAAGACGAAUUAGGGUCUGCCUCAAACAUUAACAUCUAGAAUAAAACCGUUCAACUAAGUGUCAUUGUGAGGUUUACUUAAAAUAACAUUAUAAACCUGUGUCUUUAUCAUGGUGUGUACACAGACAAUCAGUCGAACCAACAUCCAGGACAAUAACAUUACAAUCUGCAUCUUUCUGUGUCUGUUUCUAUUUGUGUGUGUGUGUGUGUGUGUGUGUGUGUUUGCCUGUUCCUAAUGUGUGUGUGUAUAAAUUUAGCCUGCAGCGUUCUGUCUCAGCACAUAAUGUUAUAUCUGGUCAUCUAUGUGUACUCUGUACAUUUGUCCUAAGGUUCUGAAGAAUUAUCCAACCUAGGACCUAAUGUUGUGUCUGAUUUCAUCUGGUUUGUUUGAUGCAUCCUAUGUUAUUGUAAAUGUUUAAUUGUGCACAAAUUUCAUCUGAAACAUUAGCUGUUUGUAUUCCCCUGGUAGCUACUCCACCACCACGCAUCUGAACCUCUUCCUCUAUGGGGCCUUUAUCCCUUAUUGGUUCUUGCACUCAGCCUCUUGCUUGGUCUAAUCUUGCACACAGCAACUCAGGACUGACCUCUUUCUCUGCAUGACUAAGGACUUAUCGCUCACCGAACAACUGUGUAGGUUUUACAGGUUCACACUCAGGGGAAUAGUUUGUAUUGGCUGUGACCAA